This 281-nucleotide ribosomal RNA is filed under the name uncultured bacterium. Its description in RNAcentral is "partial 16S ribosomal RNA". It matches the Rfam family "Bacterial small subunit ribosomal RNA", at positions 28 to 334 of the family's 1533-position model. The record is from RNAcentral.
GAUGAACGCUAGCGGUAUGCUUAACACAUGCAAGUCGUACGAGAGUUUUAACUCUAGUGGCGGACGGGUGAGUAACACGUGAGAAUCUGCCCAUAGGAAGGAAAUAACAUUGGGAAACUGAUGCUAAAGUCCUAUAUACCUUUUUGGUGAAAUAGAGAAAUCUGCCUAUGGAGGAGCUCGCGCCUGAUUAGCUUGUUGGUAGGGUAACGGCUUACCAUGGCAACGAUAGGUAGGGGUCCUGAGAGGGAGAUCCCCCACACUGGUACUGAGACACGGACCAG